GGCCACUAGCCCCUUCCAUCUGUCUCUUUGUCUCAGGAACCCGAGGUCUGCAGGCCGCAUUCGACACCGGCACGGCUCACCCCAUCCAAGUCGCAGAACUGCGCCCGCCGUGGCCACCUGAUCCCCAGCUGUGUCUCCUCCAGGGCCCCAGCCAUGUGUUCGUCGCCCCGUGUGCCCCGUCCUCGAUUGAGGUCUGAGCCGACGCCCUUGCCCCUGCCCCUACCCCUGCCAGCGCCCACCCCCAGCCAGGGCCCCUCGCCUUCCUCCCCUGGACCUGGGGGGCCAGGCGGGGGUGGUGGACGUGGCCGGAAGCUGCUGCUGCCCACGCCCCUGCUGCGGGACCUGUACACCCUGAGUGGACUGUAUCCCUCCCCCUUCCACCGGGACAACUUCAGCCCUUACCUGUUUGCCAGCCGUGACCACCUGCUGUGAGGCCCAACCACCCACCCAGAAUCUGCCCAGUCCCCACUUCUUCCCUGCCACGCGUGUGUGUGCGUGUGCCACGUGAGUGCCAAAGUCCCCUGCCCCCCAAGCCAGCCAGACCCAGACAUUAGAAGAUGGCUAGAAGGACAUUUAGGAGACAUCUGCCUCUCUGGCCCUCUGAGAUAUCCCGAUGGGCACAAUUGGAAGGUGCGCACUUGCCCCUACUAUUGCCCUUUUAAGGGCCAAAGCUUGACCCCAUUGGCCAUUGCCUGGCUAAUGAGAACUCCUGGUUCUCAGAAUUUUAACCAAAAGGAGUUGGCUCCAGCCAAUGGGAGCCUUCCCCUCACUUCUUAGAAUCCUCCUGCAAGAGGGCAACGCCAGCCAGUGUUCAGCGACUGAACAGCCAAUAGGAGCCCUUGGUUUCCAGAAUUUCUAGAGUGGGUGGGCAUGAUUCCAGUCAAUGGGGGACCGCCCGUGUCUAAGCAUGUGCAAAGGAGAGGAGGGAGAUGAGGUCAUUGUUUGUCAUUGAGUCUUCUCUCAGAAUCAGCGAGCCCAGCUGUAGGGUGGGGGGCAGGCUCCCCCAUGGCAGGGUCCUUGGGGUACCCCUUUUCCUCUUAGCCCCUCCCUGUGUGCGGCCUCUCCACCUCUCACCCACUCUCUCCUAAUCCCCUACUUAAGUAGGGCUUGCCCCACUUCAGAGGUUUUGGGGUUCAGGGUGCUGUGUCUCCCCUUGCCUGUGCCCAGGUCAUCCCAAACGCUUCUGUUAUUUAUUAGGGCUGUGGGAAGGGUUUUUCUUCUUUUUCUUGGAACCUGCCCCUGUUCUUCACACUGCCCCCCAUGCCUCAGCCUCAUACAGAUGUGCCAUCAUGGGGGGCAUGGGUGGAGCAGAGGGGCUCCCUCACCCCGGGCAGGCAAAGGCAGUGGGUAGAGGAGGCACUGCCCCCCUUUCCUGCCCCCUCCUCAUCUUUAAUAAAGACCUGGCUUCUCAUCUUUAA
This 1418-nucleotide long non-coding RNA is filed under the name Pan troglodytes (chimpanzee). Its description in RNAcentral is "long non-coding RNA NONPTRT007974". The record is from RNAcentral. Lineage: Eukaryota; Metazoa; Chordata; Mammalia; Primates; Hominidae.